GCGACAUAAAAUAUCUACGGCCACACCAGUUCCCGUCCGAUCACUGCAGUUAAGCGUCUGAGGGUCUCGUUAGUACUAUGGUUGGAGACAACAUGGGAAUCCGGGAUGCUGUAGGCU
RNAcentral lists this ribosomal RNA (117 nucleotides) under Schizosaccharomyces octosporus yFS286. The record is from RNAcentral. Lineage: Eukaryota; Fungi; Ascomycota; Schizosaccharomycetes; Schizosaccharomycetales; Schizosaccharomycetaceae.